CCCUACGGGACGCAGCAGUGGGGAAUAUUGCACAAUGGGGGGAACCCUGAUGCAGCAAUGCCGCGUGGGUGAAGAAGCACUCCGGUGCGUAAAGCCCUGUCAGCAGGGAAGAAAAUGACAGUACCUGGACAAGAAGCCCCGGCUAACUACGUGCCAGCAGCCGCGGUAAUACGUAGGGGGCAAGCGGUAUCCGGAUUUACUGGGUGUAAAGGGAGCGUAGACGGAGAAGCAAGUCUGAAGUGAAAGCCCGUGGCUUAACCACGGGACUGCUUUGGAAACUGUUUGACUAGAGUGCUGGAGAGGUA
This 305-nucleotide ribosomal RNA is filed under the name uncultured bacterium. Its description in RNAcentral is "bacterial SSU rRNA". It matches the Rfam family "Bacterial small subunit ribosomal RNA", at positions 337 to 659 of the family's 1533-position model. The record is from RNAcentral.